CCUACGGGUGGCAGCAGUGGGGGAUAUUGCACAAUGGGGGGAACCCUGAUGCAGCGACGCCGCGUGGGUGAAGAAGUGCCUCGGCGCGUAAAGUCCUGUCAGCAGGGACGAAAAUGACGGUACCUGAAUCAGAAGCCCCGGCUAACUACGUGCCAGCAGCCGCGGUAAUACGUAGGGGGCGAGCGUUAUCCGGAUUUACUGGGUGUAAAGGGUGCGCAGACGGCGAUGCAAGUCAGGAGUGAAAGCCGGGGGCUCAACCCCAGGACUGCUCUUGGAACUGCGUGGCUGGAGUGCAGGAGGGGCAGGCGGAAUUCCUGGUGUAGCGGUGAAAUGCGUAGAUAUCAGGAGGAACACCGGUGGCGAAGGCGGCCUGCUGGACUGCAACUGACGUUGAGGCCCGAAAGCGUGGGGAGCAAACAGGAUUAGAUACCCGUGUAGUC
Molecule: ribosomal RNA, 440 nt
Filed under: uncultured bacterium
Lineage: Bacteria
Description: partial 16S ribosomal RNA
Rfam family: Bacterial small subunit ribosomal RNA
Source: RNAcentral